This 1424-nucleotide long non-coding RNA is filed under the name Hordeum vulgare. RNAcentral's name for it is "long non-coding RNA (HVUL_LNC016591)". The record is from RNAcentral. Lineage: Eukaryota; Viridiplantae; Streptophyta; Magnoliopsida; Poales; Poaceae.
CUCCAUUUAUCAGUCUCAUUAGCAAAGACAACACGAUAUCUCGUACAAGCAACAUGGAGGGACAGGAUGGGGGUUGCAGGUGAGGAGGGAGCUGCUGGAGUCGAGAGGCUCCGAGCUGUGGCAGCUGCCGCUGCGCGUGACCGUUGGCGACCGGGAAGCGACCAGAAAGGAGGAGGUGGCCACGACCAUCUCCGACAUUCUACACGACCAUCUCCGACAUUCUACUCGGCAUCGUCGAGUGUGGGGCUAGGAGAGACGUGGAAGGCGGCCGCCGCAACGUGAUGAUGCGCAGGCGCCUUGUUCAGGGUGUAGCACUCCUCGCGGCGUACGACGCUGGAGGAUCAAUGCCCGUCGUCGCCUUCCUUGGUGGCCACCUGUGUCGCGUCCACGGCCGGGCUGACCGUCAUCCGCUUCGCCACCUCGGUCGUCGAAGCGAACCACACAUCAGCGAUUCUCGUGUUCAUAUGCGGUUUGCUUGCCAUGGGCAUGUGUUACCUGAUCUUCACUCGUGUCAUUGACAUGAGAGUACAUUACACAAAACUACCACUUUAAAGGCUAGAUUUAUGAAAAGCAUUAUAAUAGUUUUUUGUGCAAAAAUCCAUGUCUUCAGUAAUCAUUUUACAGAAAAUAAUGAUCGACGGAUUUGCCUAAGCUAAGCACGUUUAUGAUAGAUGGGGCCUGCCAGUCAUGCUGAUGUGGCACCGUUUAACAUCUUACAUGGAACGAUGACAAUUGGUAAUGUGUGAACAUGUGGGGUCCACCUGUCAUUGAAAGAAAUGAAGGAAAGGAGUAAAGUACCCCCAAAUCUCGCCCGACGUCGCCGUUUCCCCUCCGCAUCCCCGUUCUCCCACAGCGGCCAGCACCAAUGAUCUUACCUCCUCGACCUCGUCGCAGCCGGCGGUGGUGAAGGAGCGCCUCAAGGUGUACCUCCGCAACCACCCCCUCCCGACUCCGGAGAUGGAGCGCGGUGGUAGACCUACCGGCGACCGUGCCAAGGUCAAGGAGCACCCGCUUGUUGGGGAACGUUGCAUGGGAAACAAAAAAUUUCCUACGCACAAGCAAGACCUAUCCAUGGUGAUCAUCAUCUACGAGAGGGGAGAUCGGAUUCACAUACCCUUGUAGAUCGCUAAGAGGAAAGCGGUUAAAACGUUGUUGAUGUAGUCGAACGUCUUCGCGAUUCAAAUCGCAAGCGUCCCACGAACUCAGUCCCGAUCUAGCACCGAACGAACGACACCUCCGCGUUCAGCACACGUACAACUUGAUGACGAUCUCUGCCUUCUUGAUCCAGCAAGAGGGGCGAGAGAUAGAUGAGUUUCCCAGUAGCACGACGGCGUGGUGGUGAACUAAUCCAGCAGGGCUUCGCCAAGCUAUACCGGAUUAAUCUAGACAUGGAAGACAAUUUGUGGAGAAGAGGGCAGCAUGUG